CAGUCGCCACGGGAAUACGUAGGGUGCAAGCGUUAAUCGGAAUUACUGGGCGUAAAGCGUGCGCAGGCGGUUUGUUAAGACAGAUGUGAAAUCCCCGGGCUCAACCUGGGAACUGCAUUUGUGACUGGCAGGCUAGAGUAUGGCAGAGGGGGGUGGAAUUCCGCGUGUAGCAGUGAAAUGCGUAGAUAUGCGGAGGAACACCGAUGGCGAAGGCAGCCCCCUGGGCCAAUACUGACGCUCAUGCACGAAAGCGUGGGGAGCAAACAGGAUUAGAUACCCGUGUAGUCCCUGUCUCUUAUAC
Molecule: ribosomal RNA, 301 nt
Filed under: uncultured bacterium
Lineage: Bacteria
Description: partial 16S ribosomal RNA
Rfam family: Bacterial small subunit ribosomal RNA
Source: RNAcentral